Molecule: non-coding RNA, 86 nt
Filed under: unclassified sequences
Description: RAGATH-27 RNA
Rfam family: RAGATH-27 RNA
About the family: Clostridiales (Firmicutes). Nearby to self-cleaving ribozyme genes
Source: Rfam by way of RNAcentral
UCCAUUGUUUACUGAAAACUUUAAAUUACAACUUAUUAGACUUUCAGGAGAGCAUAGUCUCAUAUAAAGCUAAAAAGAAGCUCUCU